This 1352-nucleotide ribosomal RNA is filed under the name Spizellomyces punctatus. RNAcentral describes it as "LSU rRNA". It matches the Rfam family "Eukaryotic large subunit ribosomal RNA", at positions 66 to 1115 of the family's 3401-position model. Lineage: Eukaryota; Fungi; Chytridiomycota; Chytridiomycetes; Spizellomycetales; Spizellomycetaceae. The record is from RNAcentral.
UAACAGGAUCCCUUAGUAACGGCGAGUGAAGCGGGAAUAGCUCAAAUUUGAAAUCUCACAGGGWACCUGUGCGAAUUGUAGUUUAGAGAAGCGUUUUCGGGGGCAGCUUGGGUACAAGUCCUUUGGGAUGAGGCAUCAUAGAGGGUGAGAAUCCCGUUUAUGACCCAAUGUCUGCUCCUAUGUGAUACGCUUUCCAAGAGUCAGGUAGUUUGGGAUUGCUGCCUAAAAUGGGUGGUAAAUACCAUCUAAAGCUAAAUAUUGGCGAGAGACCGAUAGCGAACAAGUACCGUGAGGGAAAGAUGAAAAGAACUUUGAAAAGAGAGUUAAACAGUACGUGAAAUUGCCAAAAGGGAAACGCUUGGGGCCAGUAUUGCUUGCAGGUAAUCAUCUGCAUGAUCCUGAAAAGGUUAGUGCAGUGCACUUGCUUGCAGGCAGGUCAACAUCAGUUUGGUCUGGGGUAAAAAGCCAGAGGAAGGUAGCUUGGGCUUCGGUCUGAGUGUUAUAGCCUCUGGUCAUGCCUUGGACUGGACUGAGGUCUGCAGCGUCAUUUGGAUACCCAAUCGCCUCCUGAACCUUGUUUUUAGACAGCAUGCUGACUAAGGGCAAGGCUAGGGAGCCCGGUUGGUUUAUCACACCAACGCUUAGGAUGUUGACGAAAUGGCUCCAAACGACCCGUCUUGAAACACGGACCAAGGAGUCUAACAUAUAUGCGAGUAUUUGGGUGGCAAACCCUUAUGCGAAAUGAAAGUGAACUUAGGUGGGAUCUUCGGUGCACCAUCGACCGGUCUGGAUUUUUUUGAUAGAUCUGAGUAAGAGCAUAUCUGUUGGGACCCGAAAGAUGGUGAACUAUGCCUGAAUAGGGUGAAGCCAGAGGAAACUCUGGUGGAGGCUCGUAGCGAUUCUGACGUGCAAAUCGAUCGUCAAAUUUGGGUAUAGGGGCGAAAGACUAAUCGAACCAUCAGCUCAACGGUGGUUAACAGGGACGAAAAGUACGAUCCCUAGUCCGGUGAAGGCGGGCAAGACUGUCAAAUUGCUGGGACACCCUAAAGGCGCUGGUACUAACUUGGCUUGGAAACGAGCUGAGGGUCGAGUAACUUGCUCGAGAGUGACAAUCCAGCGUAUGAUAGGUGCCUUUCAAGUACCUUGAAAUGGGCAAUCAGCAGCCAAGCUCUAAGUUAUUCUGGUCUGUUUGCAGGGCAGAAUGAUAGGAGUGCAGUUCAGAGACUAGAUGUCAGUCGGUACUCCAGGGCAAUUAAUUAUGCAUGGAGUGCUUAAGGUAUAGUCCAAUCCCAGUUGAAAGACUGGCUUCCAGACAAAGCUGUGAGGGUGCUUUCACCAUGGGCAACGUAUCA